GACGAAGCAUGCAAACGUUAUUCGGAUUCACUGGGCUUAAAGCGUGCGUAGGCGGUCUUGUUAGUCAGGGGUGAAAGCCCUCAGCCUAACUGAGGAAUUGCGCUUGAUACUGCAUGACUAGAGAAUGAUAGAGGUGGGUGGAACUGAUGGUGGAGCGGUGAAAUGCGUUGAUAUCAUCAGGAACACCAGUGGCGAAGGCGACCCACUGGGUCAUUUCUGACGCUGAGGUACGAAAGCUAGGGUAGCGAACGGG
RNAcentral lists this ribosomal RNA (253 nucleotides) under uncultured bacterium. RNAcentral describes it as "partial 16S ribosomal RNA". It matches the Rfam family "Bacterial small subunit ribosomal RNA", at positions 524 to 776 of the family's 1533-position model. The record is from RNAcentral.